This 254-nucleotide ribosomal RNA is filed under the name uncultured bacterium. RNAcentral describes it as "partial 16S ribosomal RNA". It matches the Rfam family "Bacterial small subunit ribosomal RNA", at positions 524 to 776 of the family's 1533-position model. The record is from RNAcentral.
UACGUAGGGAGCAAGCGUUGUCCGGAAUCAUUGGGCGUAAAGAGCUCGUAGGCGGCUUGGUAAGUCGGAUGUGAAACCUCCAGGCUCAACCUGGAGUCGCCAUCCGAUACUGCCAUAGCUAGAGUCCGGUAGGGGCCCACGGAACUCCUGGUGUAGCGGUGAAAUGCGCAGAUAUCAGGAAGAACACCGGUGGCGAAGGCGGUGGGCUGGGCCGGUACUGACGCUGAGGAGCGAAAGCGUGGGGAGCGAACAGG